UACGGGGGGGGCAAGCGUUGUUCGGAAUUACUGGGCGUAAAGGGCUCGUAGGCGGCCAACUAAGUCAGACGUGAAAUCCCUCGGCUUAACCGGGGAACUGCGUCUGAUACUGGAUGGCUUGAGUUUGGGAGAGGGAUGCGGAAUUCCAGGUGUAGCGGUGAAAUGCGUAGAUAUCUGGAGGAACACCGGUGGCGAAGGCGGCUCACUGGCCCGGUACUGACGCUGAGGUGCGAAAGCGCGGGGAGCAAACAGG
RNAcentral lists this ribosomal RNA (253 nucleotides) under uncultured bacterium. RNAcentral describes it as "partial 16S ribosomal RNA". It matches the Rfam family "Bacterial small subunit ribosomal RNA", at positions 524 to 776 of the family's 1533-position model. The record is from RNAcentral.